ACGAACGCUGGCGGCGUGCUUAACACAUGCAAGUCGAGCGAGAGCCAGCUGAGGGGUAACCCUCGGCUGGGGACAGCGGCGAACGGGUGCGUAACACGUGGGCAACCUGCCCCUGACACUGGGAUAACCCCGGGAAACCGGAGCUAAUACCGGAUACUCUCGGCCGAUCACAUGGCUGGCCGAGGAAAGGUCCGCCGGUCAGGGAUGGGCCCGCGGCCUAUCAGCUUGUUGGUGGGGUAACGGCCCACCAAGGCGACGACGGGUAGCUGGUCUGAGAGGACGACCAGCCACACUGGAACUGGGAUACGGUCCAGACUCCUACGGGAGGCAGCAGUGGGGAAUAUUGCACAAUGGGCGAAAGCCUGAUGCAGCGACGCCGCGUGAGGGAUGAAGGCCUUCGGGUCGUAAACCUCUUUCGGCAGGGACGAAGCGAUCAGUGACGGUACCUGCAGAAGAAGCCCCGGCUAACUACGU
RNAcentral lists this ribosomal RNA (474 nucleotides) under uncultured bacterium. Its description in RNAcentral is "bacterial SSU rRNA". It matches the Rfam family "Bacterial small subunit ribosomal RNA", at positions 29 to 506 of the family's 1533-position model. The record is from RNAcentral.